This is a long non-coding RNA of Helianthus annuus (common sunflower), 2562 nucleotides long. RefSeq lists it as uncharacterized. The record is from RefSeq and is a predicted model, not a curated record. NCBI's taxonomy places the organism in Eukaryota, Viridiplantae, Streptophyta, Magnoliopsida, Asterales, Asteraceae. The transcript has 11 exons.
UGAAAAUUACUUCAACACACUGUGAACCUGCAUGGAUCCUAACCGGAUCUCUUUGACCCGUUUUACCUCUUAUGGAUCCAAUAUAAUGUUUCUAUCACUCGCUUUCUAAACCCUAAUUCAUUUCAUCCAGCCGCUACCCCUUCUUUCUCUCUCUGGUGAUUUUCAAUUUAGGGUUUCUUGCCUCCUGUGGUAUGAGCCAGAUCUUAUCGGAUCCAACAAUGGUGGUCAAGGCAAGUUCCAACAAUCCGAGAUCUAGGGUUUUAAUUUCAUGUCUGAGAUUUCAUGAUUCCACUUGGCUGAGGUAUCUUCUCUGGCGGCGGCAGUGACAAGGGUGUACGGGAGUUGCGUGUUUGGAGACUCGAUGAAAAUGGGUGGCACCGGCAUCAACAGCAGGCGGCGGCUAGGGUUCUGACCACGACCACCUGAUUAUCUACUAACAAAUAUUGGGAAUGUUCCUUUUAUUCAAGUUUUGGAGCUCAUUUUACAUUUGGGUACCGGUCUCGAAGAUUAUUCCAAGAUUUUGUUACGGAUCUGAUCUGGUAUGUUUGUGCAUCAUUCAUUGACCCAUUGUUUGUUGGCCCAGUUUCCGCUGAUACCAAAGCUGGUGAUGAUAUGUGUUGGGUUGAGCGACAGACAUGGAGGACGUAAAAAAGCUAGAAAAUUUCUUGGGGUGGGUAAAACCCUAACAACGUCGACGAAGCUGAACAGAAAACCCUAAUAAGGUUUUGACUUUAGUGAAAAAGGUAUAAUAUAAUUCUACAGAGGCGAUGUUAGUAGUGUUUUGGAGUUGUGGUUUCUAAGAAAGAGAAUAGAAAGGUGAGAGGGCGAUCAAUAGACAUAUUUGGUUUCAGAUAGACCAGUAGAGCAGAGCAUUCGAUAAAUGGUAUAGUUGGGUGAAUGGAUUUAGGGGAGUGGGCCCUCAACUGCAGGGUGGAAGUGUCCAUACAUAAGGGUAUCGUAAUCUCGAAACAAAUGUUGGUUAUGUAAGGUUAACUAAAUUAUACAGCAGGAAUUACAAGAAUGCUAAACGGGCAGCGGUGCUGGGUCGAUUAAGGCACACGUUGUAUGUUCUGGUGACCCUUGAUACAUACAUCCGGUUGUAGGUCAAGUUAUGGAUAAAUAUAUGAUUGAUAGUGAUGUUUCUGGAGAAAUAGGCGUUUUUGGGCGAAGGGUGUGAUCAGCAAGUUCAAAGUAACUAUGGUGAUGGUUUCUGGUGAUCAGCCAACAUCUCGGUCAAAAUAGAUUAAACUCGGGUCAACAAACGGUCAUCGGAAAGAUUUCACUUAUACGCGGACGACAUGACUCGCCAAGUGGAAGCGCAUAACUACUGCGGCCAUCUGAACAAAGACAUGCGGCAAUCUCUGAUCUACGACCGGCCCGAUGCCGAUGCGCGGUUGAUCAGGCUGGAACUCUUCCGGACACCGAAAAACCGAUGUGGCAUAGCCAUGAGUACGAGGUGAAGAGCGGCGUGCUCUUCCUUCCCGGUGUUCCCGGUCCGGUUGAACGAAAAGAUCUCGAGAAAGUGGCAAAACACGGGAAGACCAUACACUUUUGGCAGGUGGAUAGAGAUGAUGAACUGUCGCUCGGGUUACCGCAGUAGGCUACCAUAUGCCUAAAGGGAGAAACAGUCUUUGUUAAUAAAGGGAGUUGGUGAACUUUUCAAAAUUCAGUUCAAGUUUUUCACUGGCACAAGGAAGGUAAAGAGGAUCAUUUUAGUGAUAGGCCAUAAAUCACCAACUCAUUGCAUAAACUCUUCUUUUAUGUGUCAUAAGGGAUUGUUGCUGUGUCAUUGGGUGCUGAUUCAAAUGACCACCUUUGUACACCGGUGGAUGAUAUGGUUGUUGGUGGCAAAUCCGUAAAUAACGAGGCGCUAGGAACAAAGAUUGAUGCACAAACUUGCAACCCAACACCAUUGCUCACACCAUUCACGUCUACUGUCGAUCGAGCUCUGUUUUUGUCGAUUUGGUGAUUUGGGCCCUAUAUGAAAUCCUAACAAAAUGCAUGGCAGCCAAAGGUAAUAAUAAGAUCACUAUUGGUUUAGUAUUUUUCAUCUUGCUUUUAUUUUGUUUUCUUAGGCCGUUUUUACGUUAUCAACACUUGGUAUUGCGCUGUAGCGAUCGACGUUAAAUUUGGUCCCUAUUUGUUGCGUACAUUGUUAGGAAUGAUACCCGAGAUUUUCGUCGCAAUAUACAUGGGUAUAAUGAUCCGAACAUUGGCAGAUGCCUAAAACGAUCAUCAGUCACUUUCGGCACCACAGAUUAUCUGUACGGUUUUCGGGUUUCUUUUGACCAUUGCGACCACCGUGGUGGUCACCGUUUAUUGCAAAAGGCGGUUGAGUGAGUUGCAGAAAGAUGAUGAACAGCUACUGCUGCCAAAAGAUUUUGAAGAAACUAUGUGGAGGAACUAUCAAAACAAAGAAUGUUUUUCAUUGAUUUUUAGUACAUAAAUGAAAGAAAGAUUUGACCGCAUCUUUGUUUUGCUUGUUUUAUUCCGCUUAUACCCUCAAUAAGUUGUAUAUAACCGACAUACGUACUCUAUAAACGAUCCUUCCUUUCGGUUUCA